Molecule: ribosomal RNA, 254 nt
Filed under: uncultured bacterium
Lineage: Bacteria
Description: partial 16S ribosomal RNA
Rfam family: Bacterial small subunit ribosomal RNA
Source: RNAcentral
CACGUAGGGUGCGAGCGUUGUCCGGAUUCAUUGGGCGUAAAGGGCUAGUAGGCGGCUUAGCAAGUCGGGUGUGAAAUUUCCAGGCUUAACCUGGAACCGCCAUCCGAUACUGCUAUGGCUAGAGUCCGGUAGGGGACCACGGAAUACCUGGUGUAGCGGUGAAAUGCGCAGAUAUCAGGUGGAACACCGAUGGCGAAGGCAGUGGUCUGGGCCGGCACUGACGCUGAAUAGCGAAAGCGUGGGUAGCGAACAGG